GAUGAACGCUGGCGGCGUGCCUAAUACAUGCAAGUCGAGCGAAAAGACGAGGCGCUUGCUCCUCUGACGUUAGCGGCGGACGGGUGAGUAACAUGUGGAUAAUCUACCUAUAAGACUGGGAUCAUUUCGGGAAACCGGAGCUAAUACCGGAUAAUAUAUUGAACCGCAUGGUUCAAUAGUGAAAGACGGUUUUGCUGUCACUUAUAGAUGGUUCCGCGCCGCAUUAGCUAGUUGGUAAGGUAACGGCUUAUCAAGGCAACGAUGCGUAGCCGACCUGAUAGGGUGAUCGGCCACACUGGAACUGAGACACGGUCCAGACUCCUACGGUAGGCAGCAGUAGGGAAUCUUCCGCAGUGGGCGAAAGCCUGACGGAGCAACGCCGCGUGAGUUAUGAAGGUCUUCGGAUCGUAAAACUCUGUUAUUAGGGGAGAGCAAAUUUGUAAGUAACUGUGCACGUCUUGACGGUACCUAAUCAGAAAGCCACGGCUAACUACGUG
RNAcentral lists this ribosomal RNA (497 nucleotides) under uncultured bacterium. RNAcentral's name for it is "partial 16S ribosomal RNA". It matches the Rfam family "Bacterial small subunit ribosomal RNA", at positions 28 to 507 of the family's 1533-position model. The record is from RNAcentral.